AUGAACGCUGGCGGCUUGCUUAACACAUGCAAGUCGAACGAUGAAGCCCAGCUUGCUGGGUGGAUUAGUGGCGAACGGGUGAGUAACACGUGAGUAACCUGCCCUUAACUCUGGGAUAAGCCUGGGAAACUGGGUCUAAUACCGGAUAGGAGCGUCCACCGCAUGGUGGGUGUUGGAAAGAUUUAUCGGUUUUGGAUGGACUCGCGGCCUAUCAGCUUGUUGGUGAGGUAAUGGCUCACCAAGGCGACGACGGGUAGCCGGCCUGAGAGGGUGACCGGCCACACUGGGACUGAGACACGGCCCAGACUCCUACGGGAGGCAGCAGUGGGGAAUAUUGCACAAUGGGCGCAAGCCUGAUGCAGCGACGCCGCGUGAGGGAUGACGGCCUUCGGGCUGUAAACCUCUUUCAGUAGGGAAGAAGCGAAAGUGACGGUACCUGCAGAAGAAGCACCGGCUAACUACGUG
This 465-nucleotide ribosomal RNA is filed under the name uncultured bacterium. RNAcentral describes it as "partial 16S ribosomal RNA". It matches the Rfam family "Bacterial small subunit ribosomal RNA", at positions 29 to 507 of the family's 1533-position model. The record is from RNAcentral.